RNAcentral lists this ribosomal RNA (970 nucleotides) under gamma proteobacterium BAL389. RNAcentral's name for it is "bacterial SSU rRNA". It matches the Rfam family "Bacterial small subunit ribosomal RNA", at positions 51 to 1019 of the family's 1533-position model. Lineage: Bacteria; Pseudomonadati; Pseudomonadota; Gammaproteobacteria. The record is from RNAcentral.
ACACAUGCAAGUCGAGCGGAUGAAGAGAGCUUGCUCUCUGAUUCAGCGGCGGACGGGUGAGUAAUGCCUAGGAAUCUGCCUGAUAGUGGGGGACAACGUUUCGAAAGGAACGCUAAUACCGCAUACGUCCUACGGGAGAAAGCAGGGGACCUUCGGGCCUUGCGCUAUCAGAUGAGCCUAGGUCGGAUUAGCUAGUUGGUGAGGUAACGGCUCACCAAGGCGACGAUCCGUAACUGGUCUGAGAGGAUGAUCAGUCACACUGGAACUGAGACACGGUCCAGACUCCUACGGGAGGCAGCAGUGGGGAAUAUUGGACAAUGGGCGAAAGCCUGAUCCAGCCAUGCCGCGUGUGUGAAGAAGGUCUUCGGAUUGUAAAGCACUUUAAGUUGGGAGGAAGGGCAUUAACCUAAUACGUUAGUGUUUUGACGUUACCGACAGAAUAAGCACCGGCUAACUUCGUGCCAGCAGCCGCGGUAAUACGAAGGGUGCAAGCGUUAAUCGGAAUUACUGGGCGUAAAGCGCGCGUAGGUGGUUUGUUAAGUUGAAUGUGAAAGCCCCGGGCUCAACCUGGGAACUGCAUCCAAAACUGGCAAGCUAGAGUAUGGCAGAGGGUGGUGGAAUUUCCUGUGUAGCGGUGAAAUGCGUAGAUAUAGGAAGGAACACCAGUGGCGAAGGCGACCACCUGGGCUAAUACUGACACUGAGGUGCGAAAGCGUGGGGAGCAAACAGGAUUAGAUACCCUGGUAGUCCACGCCGUAAACGAUGUCGACUAGCCGUUGGGAUCCUUGAGAUCUUAGUGGCGCAGCUAACGCAUUAAGUCGACCGCCCUGGGGAGUACGGCCGCAAGGUUAAAACUCAAAUGAAUUGACGGGGCCCGCACAAGCGGUGGAGCAUGGUGGUUUAAUUCGAAGCACGCGAGAACCUUACCAGGCCUUGACAUGCAGAGACUUUCAGAGAUGGAUUGGUGCCU